AGCCAAUCAUUAUCGGACAGAUUUUAACUGCAGCAUUCUCAUUCGUCGAAAGUAAAGGUAGGUGUCAUUUGAUUGGCUUUCGUACGCCUUCUGGCAUACCGAUAUUGCUUAGUCCUGUGCCAUAGAACUGCACACCGUAGGUGAGAGCCAAAAAGGCAAAUCAUCUCACGUCGCAGAAACUCUGAAAGGAAUUUAUUUUUCCAAGGCCCAUACUUUGUGGGGUGUAAUAUUAUUGUGAUGAUACAAUGAUAUUUGAAUUUCGAUCAUGAAUAAUGUUCAAAAAAUAAAUGAGCUCUCAGCAACCACUAAAUUGCGUCACGAAAUGGUUUCAUGGAAGUCAUCAAAUGCGUUGAACACAUUAUGCUAUAGUUCGUGAUCGCGAACGUACGUCAGAAAAGAAAAGAAUACGCGGUAACAUGGCUGGAGUUAUCCAAUGCCUUUGGGCUGUGUCACAUAGAACCAUAUUCUGAACUGAAAAUAUGUUGAACUGAGCAAGACAAACAAUUUGGCAAUUGUUGUGAUACAAUCUCUCUAUGCCGAUAACAAGCAAUAUUAGAAUCCCGCUGAUUAUUAAAAUCAAUGCUAGAAUAAAGCAAAACUAGAAUAGAAAACUAAAAAAAAAUUUAGCACUAUUAUAUUCAAUCUUGCUAUGGAGCCUGUACUACGAUCUAUAACUCAAAUAUAUUACAGGUAUAUGAUAGACCACGUGAUUCUGUGUUCAAUAGAUAAUAGAAUAGACAAUAGGCCUUUUGCUCAUUAUAUAUUCUGAUAGAUAUUUCACAAUUCUGAGAACUUAUGUCUAUGCAGCAACCUAAGCCUACUUCUGAUUACGCUCCUCAAUAUUGUAAUCAGAAAUCAGAAAAUAUUGCAAGGUGUCUCAAUGGCAGCAUGAAAGCGGUACUUUCAAACGAGUUCCCAAAAAUCAUUAACAAAUAGGCUCAUGUAUUAACAAAUAGAUAACCUAAGCAUUGUGAUCAAAAGAUUGUUUAGUAGAAUGAAUAAAACUAGUCAGUAUCGUCAAAUACAGACAUGGAGCUAAGAUUCAAAGAUUUCCCAAUUCAAGCUUCUCUUCAAAGCACAAUCUGCAGCUAAACUAAACUACGAAUAAUUACUUGCUAAACUAAAGAGAAUAUACAAAAUCACAUUAACAGUAACUCUAUUGAACCAUUUUGUUUAAGAUAUGAGUUUUUACUUUAAGAUAGGGUUUACAGACUAGCAUUUCUUUUACCAGAUCUAUCUUGACCAUUGCCGCUGGAUAGUACUUGACGUUUUAGAAAUAAUAAGUAGCGGUCAUUGCAGUCAAUAAGACCUUGUCACAAGUGCUUUGCCACUGCAAAUUAAAUCUAAUCACUAUCAUGAAACAACACAAUGCUUCUACAUUAAUUAAUAAAGGCCUAGAGAUGAAAGCAUUAAGAAUUAAAAAUAUUAAAUGACAAUCAGAUCAUUAUUAUUUACAAGAGGUCAAAAAAAGUGAUAAUUGUGGACGUUACAUCCCAAGUUAAGAACUGCAUUAGAGGCAGCCCGUUUAACAAAGAAACAAUAUAAAAGAGUAACCAACUAUUUCCAACAGCAAGUUUACGAAAUAUAUUUGGAAAAUUUCAUGCCUUAGAUGGUCUUAGAUGGCUGGAUUCCCUACAAUGAGUUAGUUCUAUAGAUUGUGGGGAUCAACAUAUCCUAUGUCAGGCUGAUGAGGAAACUAAUAUGCAACAAUACCAUAAGAUGAUGCUGCAAUAUUUAUAUCAACUGCAUAAUUGGAAAGAGGCAAUAUUAAAAAUAAAUAGAAAAAGUAUACAUUCACAGAUGUUACCAGUGUUCAGAGCUAUAGAAAAUUAUAAAUAGGACUGAAAAUCCUAGAUAAAUGCUAGAAUAAUAUACAAUUAUGUAUAAGUUAAAAAAUCUAGUCAGAAGGUGGACUGGAAUCUAGUCAGAUAGGUUAGAAAAUACCAUCUAUAACUGAUUAUUUCUUGUUUAUAUACGUUUAAUUAUAUCAUAUACAUUUUCUUAAAUAAAGAGAUUUAUCUGAUUUACAAUUUUACAUAA
Molecule: long non-coding RNA, 2040 nt
Organism: Vespula vulgaris
Lineage: Eukaryota; Metazoa; Arthropoda; Insecta; Hymenoptera; Vespidae
Exons: 2
Source: RefSeq, a predicted model, not a curated record